RNAcentral lists this unclassified non-coding RNA (341 nucleotides) under rhizosphere metagenome. RNAcentral's name for it is "partial ribosomal RNA internal transcribed spacer region". The record is from RNAcentral.
GUAGGUGAACCUGCGGAAGGAUCAUUAACACGUAUCCAACGUUAAAGAACCCUGUGAACUUUCAGACGCUCUUGUAGCCCAAGCGGAACAGCAAUCCCGGUAAAUCAAUGGCGGAAAGAGUUUGAUUCGGGACCUCUGUCCAUCAGGUUACAAUCGUAGCUAGGAGCAGUGGCAUGGUUUCCUGAAGCGUGCCGAAGGAUGCACUGAGUACGGAUAACGCAUCACGGUUGCUAGAGGUCGAUCACCGGCCGGCAGACAUGUCACAGGGCUACAUGCCCCUUAAUCACCCCUUGCCUAAUCACGCCCCGCGGAAACGCCGGACAAUGGAUAUCUUGGUUCUC